Dermochelys coriacea (leatherback sea turtle) is the source of this 1846-nucleotide long non-coding RNA. RefSeq lists it as uncharacterized. NCBI's taxonomy places the organism in Eukaryota, Metazoa, Chordata, Testudines, Dermochelyidae. The transcript has 2 exons. The record is from RefSeq and is a predicted model, not a curated record.
GGCCCCCCUCCCCCUUACUCUUGGCAAGCGAAAGUGAAAGUGAAAGGCGGAGCUGAGUGGCUGGGAAAUUCCGGACAGAGCCUCCAGCAGCCAGAGACUCGUCUCGGGGGGCGACCUCCCACAGCUAAACAGCGUCUGAUCCGGACCUAGGUGUCCUAGGGGCUCUGCCUGGCCUGUUUGGACCCUGCCCGACCACCUGGAUGGGCUCCUCUCCCGACACCGACCGCAGGUGCCUGCUGCAGACCACCCUGGAUGAGGCACCCAAAAUCAACAACUGCAGCUCAACUGUGCACAACUGCCUGGCACUACGGGCCUGCCCCGGCUGUGGGGCUCUGGUGAGCCACACCCAGAAGGGCUGCCCCACGGUGUGGUGUGUUGAGUGCCCAUGCUCCUUCUGCUUCCGGUGCCUGAAAGUGGGUUACUGUGGGUACAAGGUCCCCCAGUGCCGCAUCAAGAAGAGGCAACAGCUGCUGGGCAAGCGAAGCAGCCAGCCCCAGCUGUGAGCCAGGAACAUCUUUGUGCCAAUGAGCAGGGGACAAACGGAUGAAGGGACAGACCCUCCUGCCCACCUGUCCUUUUUGGGGUCCUGGGAGACAAAUCAACUCUUGCCGUCAGCUUCGCCGUGGUGGCUACUGCCACUGCUGUGUUCAGGGACCCUGGGCUUUGGUCCCCCGGAGCCGAGAGAUGUUCCGACCAGGGCCAGGGCCCCAAGUGCCACCUCCACCGGCUCCGGCUGUGUCCCGGCCACCAGUUGGGGUGAAACGGGAAUCAGAUUUGAAUGGCUCCAGCCCAUGGCAAUGAACUUCUGCUCUUUGGCCCCGGGGGAAUCCCGUGGCCCGUUCUGGCACCCGCAGUUCCAGCAGGGUGGUGGUUAAAUCGGAGAAGGGCCAGAGAAGGAUUUGAAACCCUGCCCUCGCGUGAGAGAUUCCCAGAGCACACCUUUGAUGCACACUCUCUGACGUAACGGACAAAAUAAUGUCACCCAACGCCUGGGAGUUGAAGCUGGAUAUAAGGCAUCAAUUUGUCCCCACGUGUGUAAUUAGCUAGUGGAAAAAUUUCCCCAGGGGAUUCUCCAUCCCUGGUAACUCUUAAAGCGAGACGGGUGGCUGUUCUCACAGAUCUGCUCUGGUUCACACAGGGAUUACUUGAGGGCAGGGGGAACUCUCUGUUUUAGGGGGUCUGAUUAUGUUGAAUGAUGUAUGCCGGGGGGCUAGCCCGUGUAUAUCCCGUUCCCAAUGUGUACGGGAUGCGGCAGGCAUGUGUCGGGAUGCACUGAGCACACAACAGAGAUCUAAUGGCAGGUACGUACGCUAAAUUGGCCUGUGUGUUUUAUACAAUUCUGCUCACCUGUGCUAAGCGAUCCAUCACGCCCAGCGUUCACAGAAGCAUCUGGCCCGAGUCGAUCGUUAAUGGUUCGAAAUCGAACUAGAUUCAUCCUACAGCUUCAUACUGGCCGGGGAAGCCCCUUUGUUGCCCGGCCCCUGGAGCACUGGAAUCCAAAACCCAGCCAAGGAAGGAACAGAACCAGCGAGGGAACGGGGCCACACAGCUGGAUGAGGGAGUAGUGACAGCUCGCUUGUGAAAUUGUAGUAUAAAUAAAUGUCACGCAGGGAACGCACCUUCGAUACUGCACGGGCCGGCUUCCCGGAGACGGGACCGGAGAGAACGGUCGUCCUGCACUGUGGGAUUGCUCGUAGUGAUAAACCUGCCUGGCGCUGGUUAUUUGGUCUCUUGAGUGUGUUUCAUAUCAAGCCAAAGUGCGGUCAACACCUGACUCUGCAAUUUCUCAAGUCGCAAGGGUCCCCUCUGCCCUCAGACUCGAUGAAUACAACAUAUUGGCCGAAUA